Molecule: ribosomal RNA, 429 nt
Filed under: Bacteroidota bacterium
Lineage: Bacteria; Pseudomonadati; Bacteroidota
Description: Bacteroidetes bacterium partial 16S ribosomal RNA
Rfam family: Bacterial small subunit ribosomal RNA
Source: RNAcentral
UAGGGAAUCUUCGGCAAUGGGGGGAACCCUGACCGAGCAACGCCGCGUGAGUGAAGAAGGUUUUCGGAUCGUAAAGCUCUGUUGUUAAGGAAGAACGAGUGUGAGAAUGGAAAGUUCAUGCUGUGACGGUACUUAACCAGAAAGGGACGGCUAACUACGUGCCAGCAGCCGCGGUAAUACGUAGGUCCCGAGCGUUGUCCGGAUUUAUUGGGCGUAAAGCGAGCGCAGGCGGUUAGAAAAGUCUGAAGUGAAAGGCAGUGGCUCAACCAUUGUAGGCUUUGGAAACUGUUUAACUGGAGUGCAGAAGGGGAGAGUGGAAUUCCAGGUGUAGCGGUGAAAUGCGUGGAUAUAUGGAGGAACACCAGUGGCGAAGGCGACUCUCUGGUCUGUAACUGACGCUGAGGCUCGAAAGCGUGGGGAGCGAACAGG